Molecule: long non-coding RNA, 982 nt
Organism: Vicia villosa (hairy vetch)
Lineage: Eukaryota; Viridiplantae; Streptophyta; Magnoliopsida; Fabales; Fabaceae
Exons: 3
Source: RefSeq, a predicted model, not a curated record
CGAAACUAAUCGUUAAAAUCCUUUGGCGAUACAUUAACCCUAACCUACGGAGUCUCCUAACCCACCCAGACCUAGAAGCAAGCUUUCUUCUCUCGAUUCUUCUCUCACGUCGCCGCACAUCACGUCGCCGCACAUCGAAACUAAUUACAUAGCUUUAUCUUCUCUAGCCCAGCUCUGUCGCACAGUGUCUAUCUCCUUCUCAAGUGUGUAUGGCGUGCCUCUUUAUUAUCGUGACCUGUGAUUGUCUUGUAAAAUUAUCUAUAGAUUUGGAUCCAAUGGACCUGAAAUCGAAUCAUACAUCUCUCAUUGCCGAAACUGCAACCGUAACAAGGACAAGGUCAAGGCUCCGUGCACCCCUGAGAUUGUCUUCCUCUCCUACAAGUGGUUCGGAUUUUCUCCACGGUCCCUCGCACACAGUUCUAAGGAAGAAGAUAAUAGCUCUUACUAUUUUUGUUCUAAUGGUUGGCUCGAAGGAAUGAGAUCAUCUUCUCCCACUCACAGGAAAAUAUCUAUGGAUGUUGGCCAUGGUGUUGCGUCUUCUGAAGUUGAUGUUGCUUAUUAACCUACUGGUAUGCACCACAUACUCCCCUCUAUGUAAUUUGUGGUUGAAGUUCCGUUUGUGCGGUUAUUUGUUUCCUUUUUAUAGUUUUCAGAGCUAGAGUUUCCAUCCGCACUUACGUCUUUUGAGCAAAUUACUAAAUGUGCAAAAGACAUUUUAAUGGAGUAAAGUAUCAAUGAAGAUGUUGAUCAGGACGAGCAAGUGAGCAAUUUUAAGAGGAUGAUUGAAGUGAUGUGGAUGAAAUAGGUGAAGAAUUUCAAGAGGACGACAUAGGUGAUGGAUGAACUUCAAGAGGACGACAUAGAUGAUGAAAAGGGUAAUGGAGUUGACGAUGAGUUUGAAAAUUUUAAAUGAGUUGGAUGUUUUUGUUUUAGGCUUGUGCGUAGUUUGAAAAUUUUAAAUGAGUUGGAUGUUUUUGUUUUA